CCCUUAGAUGUUCUGGGCGGCCCGCGCACUACAUUGGCACUCUCAAUAAGUUCCUAGAUCUAAAACUUUGGGGUAUUCUAUUAAGUGGUGUCGUGACUGGGAUUAACCCUUGCAAUUAUUGGUUACGAACGAGGAAUUCCUUGUAAUCGCGGUUUAUCAGCCCGCGUUGAAUGCGUCCCUGCCCUUUGUACACACCGCCCGUCGCUCCUACCGAUGAAUCGUCCGGUGAAGUUCAUGGAGUGGUGGUUGUUCCAGCUGCUGUCGAAGUGAAAUGGACCUCGCGAUUUAGAGGAAGGAGAAGUCGUAACA
This 309-nucleotide ribosomal RNA is filed under the name uncultured eukaryote. RNAcentral's name for it is "partial 18S ribosomal RNA". It matches the Rfam family "Eukaryotic small subunit ribosomal RNA", at positions 1470 to 1796 of the family's 1831-position model. The record is from RNAcentral.